GACGAACGCUGGCGGCGUGCUUAACACAUGCAAGUCGAACGGGCCUGUCUUCUUUUUUGGGGGGUGGGUUGAGUGGCGAACGGGUGAGUAUCACGUGAGUAACCUGCCCUUCGGUCCUGGAUAACCGCUUGAAAGGGCGGCUAAUACGGGGUGGUCCGGUUGGUCCGCAUGGGCUGGUCGGGAUAGAUUCACUGUUUUUGGUGUUUCGGCGGGGGAUGGGCUCGCGGCCUAUCAGCUUGUUGGUGGGGUGAUGGCCUACCAAGGCGGUGACGGGUAGCCGGCCUGAGAGGGUGGGCGGCCACACUGGGACUGAGAUACGGCCCAGACUCCUGCGGGAGGCAGCAGUGGGGGGUAUUGCACAAUGGGCGGAAGCCUGAUGCAGCGACGUCGCGUGAGGGAUGGAGGCCUUCGGGUUGUGAACCUCUGUUUCCGGUAGUGAAGGCCCUGUCCGUGUGGUGGGGUUGACGGUAGCCGGGGAUGAAGCGCCGGCUAACUACGUG
Molecule: ribosomal RNA, 500 nt
Filed under: uncultured bacterium
Lineage: Bacteria
Description: partial 16S ribosomal RNA
Rfam family: Bacterial small subunit ribosomal RNA
Source: RNAcentral